RNAcentral lists this non-coding RNA (123 nucleotides) under Chitinophaga sancti. Its description in RNAcentral is "SAM-I sequence". It matches the Rfam family "SAM riboswitch aptamer (S box leader)". From Rfam's summary of the family: The SAM riboswitch is found upstream of a number of genes which code for proteins involved in methionine or cysteine biosynthesis in Gram-positive bacteria. The SAM riboswitch acts at the level of transcription termination control. The predicted structure consists of a complex stem-loop region followed by a single stem loop terminator region. Lineage: Bacteria; Pseudomonadati; Bacteroidota; Chitinophagia; Chitinophagales; Chitinophagaceae. The record is from RNAcentral.
GACUUAUCCAGAAAGGCGGAGGGACUUGGCCCUGCGAUGCCUUAGCAACCAACCUUGUUUAAAAACAAGGGAAAGGUGCUAAUUCCGGCUCCGGUUAUACACAUAACCAGAGAUAGAUAAGUU